RNAcentral lists this ribosomal RNA (248 nucleotides) under uncultured bacterium. RNAcentral describes it as "partial small subunit ribosomal RNA". It matches the Rfam family "Bacterial small subunit ribosomal RNA", at positions 26 to 286 of the family's 1533-position model. The record is from RNAcentral.
AGAAUCAACGCUGGCGGCGUGCCUAACACAUGCAAGUCGAACGAGAAAGGGGUAGCAAUACCCUGAGUAAAGUGGCGCACGGGUGAGUAACACGUGACUAACCUACCCUGGAGUGGGGGAUAACUGAGGGAAACCUUAGCUAAUACCGCAUAAUACCUACGGGUCAAAGGAGCAAUUCGCUCGAGGAGGGGGUCGCGGCCGAUUAGUUAGUUGGCGGGGUAAUGGCCCACCAAGACGAUGAUCGGUAU